Molecule: long non-coding RNA, 1761 nt
Organism: Dromaius novaehollandiae (emu)
Lineage: Eukaryota; Metazoa; Chordata; Aves; Casuariiformes; Dromaiidae
Exons: 6
Source: RefSeq, a predicted model, not a curated record
GGUAGGGUUUUUGUCUGGCCCUGGAUAUCUUCUGCUGGGAGUGACUGAUAGAAGGGCUUUAGGAUGAAUUUAGUUCCUCUCCUGGCCUGAGAGAUGCUGCUACUCACGCUGUGGAAGCUUGCCCAUGCUUUGAAUAGGUACCAGGCAUCUUUGUUGGUGCUCCAUGAAAUGUUUCCCUUUGUAUUCCUCAAAUGCCCUGUGAAGAGAAGGAGGUGAAAAUAAACCUGUUUUGCCUAGGGAAGGACACACAGGCAUGAUCUGUCAGCUGUAGGAUGCUGGUUUGGAAAUUCUAAUCCUCCUAUUAAAGGAUGAGAUCCGUGGGAACUUCCAGUGUUUAAAAAGUUGGCUCUUGGUCCCUGUCAGGUUAUUCCGGGUGUCAGAGAGAGGCCUCAUAGCUCCUCAUUUGGUCAAAGGAGGAUUCCCAGAUCCCACAUGCUAAGUGGAAACCCUCCGUAGGAAACACCAGCCCCAGGGCUGCUCUUCCUGAAUUUGGUGCCUCUGCUCAGAUAGGACCCAGGACACUGACUCCACCUGAGGGUAAGGGCUCUCUGAGAUAAGCAGUACCCUCUCUAAAACCUUGUAAAAUCUCAGCUGCCUUUAGUACUUCCAGUGCUUGCCAGCAAAGUGAGAGACCAGAGCCCCCUCCUCGACUUCUGGACUCCAGCCGUUCCUCACCAGGCCAGGGAAGAGGCUACGGAGAUGGUGACCCUCCAUCCCUCCAUCGAGCAGGGCGUCCGUGCACUGGAGUGGUGCAAUGCAAAGAGAAGGGGCAAGAGAGAGCCCAGCUUUUCACACCGAGUCAUUCGGCUUCUCAGCUUGGAGCGGUUUCGAACUGCCUGGGCUCUCUGUUCAGAUCCCAGGAGAAGAAGAGAUCCAUAUGCUGUCAGAACAGGACAGCUCUUGUCUUUUGGCAAUGAGCAGGUUGGCUUUGGCCUCCAGCUGAAGUGGGAUAUACUCAUCCCCAAACAGCUUCUACCUCCUGAGAUCUCCGUCUAAUUGAAUCACCUUACACCUUCCAUUGAAGAGGAGAUAGGCAUGAAUCAGCCUCCAAGCCUUUGGCUCCAGGAUGCAUCCAUGACGAUGAGACACAGAGGGUGGGGAUCCAAAAAUCUGCAAACAAGGAAAGAUCUAUAUCUUCUAAGAAAAAAAAAUGCAGCUAGCUGCAAGGAGGCUUGCGAAAGGCAGCCCAUCUUCUCCUCAUUCGUGUAGAAUCAGCCUCCUGCAACGGUGUUUUCACGUUGAUCGCAACCUCUCCUGACACUGGAAGUGGGGAGAAGAGUGAGACCAGCACUGGUGAAAUCUGUCCUGUCCGUUUAAGCCCUGUGGUGAAAAAGCUUGCAAACCAAGUUUAGUUUGCAUGCAUGACUUGGAAGGCGAGAUGGAAGCUAUAGCCUUCUCUGGUGCAAGUUGACUCCGAUAAAGUUUGGUGAAGUAUAAAUUGACCCAGCUCUGCUAAAGCCGACGAUUAAUGCCCUGAUUGAUGAAAAACAGUUCAGCUCCACUUGAAGCCAGCUGACCAGUUGCCGGUGCAAACUGCCGUGGUCUCAGUGAAGUCAAUGGCCAGGUAGCUCUGGAAAUGCACCUUCCUGAUAAUGAGGAAACAAUUUCCAAUUUAUUUUCAGAGCCAUAGCUGUCUGGGGAGCUAUUAAGUGUGGGAUGGAACAAAGCAGCUGUUGAACUCUGCACAUCGACGCUACACAACAGGUUAGGACAGGAAGUGAAGAAGAAUCCAAUUGAAACCUUAGGGGGAAUUUAAGGAGA